GAAGAUUCUCAGGAGUUUCAAGUUCAUCGUUCUUCAUUCUUGUUCUUUUUUCCGGUGGAUUCAAUUCAAGCUCUUUGUGUUCAUCAUAUCCUUUUCUUUUGUUCAAUGUUUCCUGUAUUGGAAAUUAUUAUUCAAGUCUUUCUUAUUUUUUUCAUCUCUCCCCAUUCUAUCCGGAGUGUUCUCGAUAUCUCAGAGUUUCUUGUUCUCAAUCCUUUCAAUUAUUUCGAGGUGCGCAACCUCAUCAAGUUUUUCAUUUAUCUGGUGUAAUCUGUCUUCCUAAGUAAUUGUUUCAACGGUGUUUUCCUUUAGU
RNAcentral lists this long non-coding RNA (310 nucleotides) under Hordeum vulgare. Its description in RNAcentral is "long non-coding RNA (HVUL_LNC018789)". Lineage: Eukaryota; Viridiplantae; Streptophyta; Magnoliopsida; Poales; Poaceae. The record is from RNAcentral.